AUCAGGGGUAAACCUGUGGAAUUCGAACGAACGAACGGGGAGAUUCAACGCAGUUCCGUUAACGGGUCCGCGAUUCUUACGAUGGCGGUCGUGGCGUCGUUUACGCGGCGUUUACGCGCCGCGAUCGUUUGCGUCGUGGCAAGGCCCGCGGAGUGCGUGCACUUCUCCCUUAGUAAAACACCGCGACCCGUUCGUUUUCGAUCGAACGCGCCGUGCGGUUGUCCCGUAUCGUUUUCGCGAACGGUGCGGAGCCGCGGCGUCGCGAUCGACGACGGACGGUAAAGAACAAGGCUCGCGUUCGCCCCCCCUACGAGGGCGUCAGUGUCGCGAACCGGCCGGGCCCCGUACGCACCUCGACGUUUACGCGUCGUGGGCUGCGUGCGUCGGUUUGCUCGGCCGUAGCGUCGCGAUAUCUCUGACGGAACGCGUCCCGGUCGGCGGUGGUUUUGUUUCGGGCACUCACAGGACCC
Molecule: ribosomal RNA, 470 nt
Filed under: Pseudoleptonema quinquefasciatum
Lineage: Eukaryota; Metazoa; Arthropoda; Insecta; Trichoptera; Hydropsychidae
Description: partial large subunit ribosomal RNA
Source: RNAcentral